GACGAACGCUGGCGGCGUGCUUAACACAUGCAAGUCGAACGGAAAGGCCCUGCUUUUGUGGGGUGCUCGAGUGGCGAACGGGUGAGUAACACGUGAGUAACCUGCCCUUGACUUUGGGAUAACUUCAGGAAACUGGGGCUAAUACCGGAUAGGAGCUCCUGCUGCAUGGUGGGGGUUGGAAAGUUUCGGCGGUUGGGGAUGGACUCGCGGCUUAUCAGCUUGUUGGUGGGGUAGUGGCUUACCAAGGCUUUGACGGGUAGCCGGCCUGAGAGGGUGACCGGCCACAUUGGGACUGAGAUUCGGCCCAGGCUCCUACGGGAGGCAGCAGUGGGGAAUAUUGCACAAUGGGCGGAAGCCUGAUGCAGCAACGCCGCGUGCGGGAUGGCGGCCUUCGGGUUGUAAACCGCUUUCGCCUGUGACGAAGCGUGAGUGACGGUAAUGGGUAAAGAAGGAACGGCUAACUACGUG
This 468-nucleotide ribosomal RNA is filed under the name uncultured bacterium. RNAcentral describes it as "partial 16S ribosomal RNA". It matches the Rfam family "Bacterial small subunit ribosomal RNA", at positions 28 to 507 of the family's 1533-position model. The record is from RNAcentral.